RNAcentral lists this ribosomal RNA (1051 nucleotides) under Anaerolineales bacterium. RNAcentral's name for it is "partial 23S ribosomal RNA". It matches the Rfam family "Bacterial large subunit ribosomal RNA", at positions 17 to 1031 of the family's 2925-position model. The record is from RNAcentral. Lineage: Bacteria; Bacillati; Chloroflexota; Anaerolineae; Anaerolineales.
GCUUACGGUGGAUGCCUUGGCGCUAAGUGCCGAUGAAGGACGCGGGACACUGCGAUAAGCCUCGGGUAGCCGUGUACAGGCUUUGAUCCGGGGAUUUCCGAAUGGGGAAACCCGCUGUGGCGAUCCCACAGCACCGGCGGCUGAAUAUAUAAGCCUGCCGGGGGGCACCUGGGGAACUGAAACAUCUAAGUACCCAGAGGAAAAGAGAUUAUUUCCCUAGUAGUGGCGAGCGAACGGGAACCAGCCCAAACCAGAGAGGCUUGCUUCUUUGGGGUUGUAGGGUCCGGCAUAUGGAAGUUACAAAUCAAUCUGCUAGCAGAAAGGUGUGGGAAAGCCUACCAAAGAGGGUAACAGUACCGUAUGCGAAAGUGGAUUGACUUCCGCUGGAUACCUGAGUACUGCCGGGCACGCUAAUCCGGCAGGAAGCUGGGGAGUCCACUCCCCAAGGCUAAAUACACUUGGCGACCGAUAGUGAACAAGUACCGUGAGGGAAAGGUGAAAAGUCCCCCUGUUAGGGGAGUGAAAUAGAACCUGAAACCGUAAGCUUACAAGCAGUCGGAGGGCUAAUGGCGUGUCGGUGCUAUUGCGAAAGCAUGUGCGCGGCGCUAUGCCUGACGGCGUGCCUCUUGGAGAAUGAGCCUGCGAGUUAAUCUCAGUGGCGAGGUUAAGGAAGUGACAUCCGAAGCCGUAGCGAAAGCGAGUCUGAAUAGGGCGUAUAGUCGCUGGGAUUAGACACGAAACCGGGUGAGCUACCCAUGGCCAGGGUGAAGCGAGUCUAAAAGCUCGUGGAGGCCCGAACCCUUUAAUGUUGCAAAAUUAUGGGAUGAGCUGUGGGUAGAGGUGAUAUGCCAAUCGAACUCGGAGAUAGCUUGUUCUCCCCGAAAUAGCUUUAGGGCUAGCGUCAUGCGUUUAGUACCGGAGGUAGAGCACUGGAUGAGCUAGGGGGCUUACCGCUUACCGAACUCAACCAAACUCCGAAUGCCGGUACUCCAGAGCAUGGCAGUCGGACUCCGGGAGAUGAGUUUCGGGGUCGAAAGGGAAACAGCCCAGA